CAGACCUCUGAUCAGGAAA
This 19-nucleotide ribosomal RNA is filed under the name Didymodon aff. asperifolius 2 JK-2015. Its description in RNAcentral is "partial 26S ribosomal RNA". Lineage: Eukaryota; Viridiplantae; Streptophyta; Bryopsida; Pottiales; Pottiaceae. The record is from RNAcentral.